UCAGGCUGAACUAAUAGGCAGAUGGCCACAAUCUCUCCACGAUCAGACUCCCGUAUGGAUGAGUGGAAGUGGCUGCUCUCAAACACGGCAUAGAGGGAGAAUGGGUCGCAGUGCAUCUGCCCGAGGACGGGCCUCCACGUCUGCCACUGCACCACACCGGUUCAGCAAGCAGAGUCCAAAUGAUGACACAACUGUGCCAGAAGCAGUUUACUAAAGAAAACAUGAAUAAUGACAAGAACCGUCGAGGAAUCGUCCAGAGUGCAUGAGGAACAAGAGCAAGCAGGACAAACUCAGCAGGAAAAGCAGGUUGUCCCUGAGGAUUGGCCCUAUUGACUACGCCAGGAUCCCACAAUCCUUUGGCUCUCCUCUGGCGGUGUCUUUCUUUAGCCCUGAUUUUGGAUGUUGGCAGGCAAGUUUCUUUUCGUUGGCAUUGCGACGCUGCAGCAGCGUGCCAGCUGUUUACGCCUCUUUGUCUUUCAGUUAUG
Rhinichthys klamathensis goyatoka is the source of this 485-nucleotide long non-coding RNA. RefSeq lists it as uncharacterized. The transcript has 3 exons. The record is from RefSeq and is a predicted model, not a curated record. NCBI's taxonomy places the organism in Eukaryota, Metazoa, Chordata, Actinopteri, Cypriniformes, Leuciscidae.